This 673-nucleotide ribosomal RNA is filed under the name Pseudomonas sp. YC6888. RNAcentral's name for it is "bacterial SSU rRNA". It matches the Rfam family "Bacterial small subunit ribosomal RNA", at positions 57 to 724 of the family's 1533-position model. The record is from RNAcentral. Lineage: Bacteria; Pseudomonadati; Pseudomonadota; Gammaproteobacteria; Pseudomonadales; Pseudomonadaceae.
GCAAGUCGAGCGGAUGAAGUGAGCUUGCUCAUGGAUUCAGCGGCGGACGGGUGAGUAAUGCCUAGGAAUCUGCCUGGUAGUGGGGGACAACGUUUCGAAAGGAACGCUAAUACCGCAUACGUCCUACGGGAGAAAGCAGGGGACCUUCGGGCCUUGCGCUAUCAGAUGAGCCUAGGUCGGAUUAGCUAGUUGGUGAGGUAAUGGCUCACCAAGGCUACGAUCCGUAACUGGGUCUGAGAGGAUGAUCAGUCACACUGGAACUGAGACACGGUCCAGACUCCUACGGGAGGCAGCAGUGGGGAAUAUUGGACAAUGGGCGAAAGCCUGAUCCAGCCAUGCCGCGUGUGUGAAGAAGGUCUUCGGAUUGUAAAGCACUUUAAGUUGGGAGGAAGGGUUGUAGAUUAAUACUCUGCAAUUUUGACGUUACCGACAGAAUAAGCACCGGCUAACUCUGUGCCAGCAGCCGCGGUAAUACAGAGGGUGCAAGCGUUAAUCGGAAUUACUGGGCGUAAAGCGCGCGUAGGUGGUUCGUUAAGUUGGAUGUGAAAUCCCCGGGCUCAACCUGGGAACUGCAUCCAAAACUGGCGAGCUAGAGUAUGGUAGAGGGUGGUGGAAUUUCCUGUGUAGCGGUGAAAUGCGUAGAUAUAGGAAGGAACACCAGUGGCGAAGGCGA